GAAUUUUAUAUAAAUUUAUUAUGUGAUUUAUUAUAUGAUAUAUUAUUAAAUUUAUAUUUUAUUGGGAGGAUAAUUAAAUUAUAUAAACUUUAAUAUUAUAAAAUCAUUGAUGUAUGAAUUAAGUAUUUAAGGAAUGGUUAAAAUAAUUUAAAUAGAAUUAAUUACCUUAGGGAUAACAGCGUAAUAUUUUUAGAGAGAUCUUAUUAAUAAAAAUGAUUGC
This 220-nucleotide ribosomal RNA is filed under the name Pheidole nr. fimbriata sp. D GR-2021. RNAcentral describes it as "partial large subunit ribosomal RNA". Lineage: Eukaryota; Metazoa; Arthropoda; Insecta; Hymenoptera; Formicidae. The record is from RNAcentral.